ACGUGAGGGAGCAGGACGUGCACAAGAUGAGCGCGCACUGCAGGAGGAAGCUUCAGGCGCUCUCGACGAAGAUAGGCUCC
This 80-nucleotide non-coding RNA is filed under the name Chloropicon laureae. The record is from RNAcentral. Lineage: Eukaryota; Viridiplantae; Chlorophyta; Chloropicophyceae; Chloropicales; Chloropicaceae.